Meriones unguiculatus (Mongolian gerbil) is the source of this 128-nucleotide small nucleolar RNA. The record is from Ensembl. NCBI's taxonomy places the organism in Eukaryota, Metazoa, Chordata, Mammalia, Rodentia, Muridae.
ACCACCCCUAGAGGCGUGGCAGGUGUGGCUAUUAUGUCCCCUGUGUCAGUAAGUGGCAGGGAAGAGAGACUAUGUCUACACUCAGUGUUCUAACCUGUGACCAUCUGAAUAAUUAGUAGCCUAACACU